Molecule: ribosomal RNA, 392 nt
Filed under: uncultured bacterium
Lineage: Bacteria
Description: partial 16S ribosomal RNA
Rfam family: Bacterial small subunit ribosomal RNA
Source: RNAcentral
AUACGGAAGAUGCGAGCGUUAUCCGGAUUUAUUGGGUUUAAAGGGAGCGUAGGCGGAAGGUUAAGUCUGCGGUAAAAUGGCCGUGCUCAACGCGGUCCUGCCGUGGAUACUGGUCUUCUUGAAUGUGCACAAGGAAGGUGGAAUUCGUGGUGUAGCGGUGAAAUGCUUAGAUAUCACGAAGAACUCCGAUUGCGAAGGCAUCCUUCUGGGGCAUGAUUGACGCUGAGGCUCGAAAGCGCGGGUAUCAAACAGGAUUAGAUACCCUGGUAGUCCGCGCCGUAAACGAUGAAUACCCGUCGUUGGCGAUACACGGUCAGUGACCAAGCGAAAGCAUUAAGUAUUCCACCUGGGGAGUACGCCGGCAACGGUGAAACUCAAAUGAAUUGACGGGG